UACGUAGGGUGCGAGCGUUGUCCGGAAUUACUGGGCGUAAAGAGCUCGUAGGUGGUUUGUCGCGUUGUCCGUGAAAACUCACAACUCAAUUGUGGGCGUGCGGGCGAUACGGGCAGACUGGAGUACUGCAGGGGAGACUGGAAUUCCUGGUGUAGCGGUGGAAUGCGCAGAUAUCAGGAGGAACACCGGUGGCGAAGGCGGGUCUCUGGGCAGUAACUGACACUGAGGCGCGAAAGUGUGGGGAGCGAACAGG
RNAcentral lists this ribosomal RNA (253 nucleotides) under uncultured bacterium. RNAcentral describes it as "partial 16S ribosomal RNA". It matches the Rfam family "Bacterial small subunit ribosomal RNA", at positions 524 to 776 of the family's 1533-position model. The record is from RNAcentral.